GUCAAUAUUUCUCUAAUUAUUAUUACAUGUAAGACUUUCUAGCAUUACUUAGAUUCAUAUAAAUAUUAUACCGCUAAUGUAAUUUAUCAAUAAAUAAAUUUAGGUAUAGUCAAUACGCCGUGCAAUAUCAAAGGGGGUAAUACAUUAUUUUAUCAUACAUUUUACUAAUGUAUUUAUAGAUAUCGAUGUACUACUCAGCAGGAACUUAUCACCCCCAUUGUUUAGCUUAUAGUAUAAACAACCAAACAACAUAUUUACGAAAAAAAUUAUGAAUAAAAACUUUUAUAUACAUAUUCUCACCGAUCUAAAAAUAAAUGCUAAAAAUAAAU
This 329-nucleotide long non-coding RNA is filed under the name Oryza brachyantha (malo sina). RNAcentral's name for it is "long non-coding RNA (OBRA_LNC002142)". The record is from RNAcentral. Lineage: Eukaryota; Viridiplantae; Streptophyta; Magnoliopsida; Poales; Poaceae.